AACGCGAAGAACCUUACCAGGACUUGACAUGGAGGGGACGCGUACAGAGAUGUACGUUCCCGCGAGGGCCCCUUGCACAGGUGCUGCAUGGCUGUCGUCAGCUCGUGUCGUGAGAUGUUGGGUUAAGUCCCGCAACGAGCGCAACCCUCGCCUUUAGUUGCCAUCAGGUUUGGCUGGGCACUCUAAAGGAACUGCCGGUGACAAGCCGGAGGAAGGUGGGGAUGACGUCAAGUCCUCAUGGCCUUUAUGUCCAGGGCUACACACGUGCUACAAUGGUCGGUACAAACCGUCGCAAACCCGCGAGGGGGAGCUAAUCGGAAAAAGCCGGCCUCAGUUCGGAUUGGAGUCUGCAACCCGACUCCAUGAAGCUGGAAUCGCUAGUAAUCGCGGAUCAGAACGCCGCGGUGAAUACGUUCCCGGGCCUUGUACACACCGCGCAUA
This 441-nucleotide ribosomal RNA is filed under the name uncultured bacterium. Its description in RNAcentral is "bacterial SSU rRNA". It matches the Rfam family "Bacterial small subunit ribosomal RNA", at positions 958 to 1398 of the family's 1533-position model. The record is from RNAcentral.